Panthera uncia (snow leopard) is the source of this 6129-nucleotide long non-coding RNA. RefSeq lists it as uncharacterized. The transcript is spliced from 3 exons. NCBI's taxonomy places the organism in Eukaryota, Metazoa, Chordata, Mammalia, Carnivora, Felidae. The record is from RefSeq and is a predicted model, not a curated record.
UGAAAGAAAUCUAGUUCAGUACCUCUAUUUGAAUUGACCCUUCAAACUGGACAUCAGGAAUGUACAAAGAAAAAUCGCAUCAUUAUGAUUUGGAAUUGACAGCCAAUGGACCAUUUUGUCAAGUGUGUUUUGUCUCUGAUGCAAAGGUGGUAAUAGAACAUUAUAAGUUACAGCCAGUUGUUGUGUGAGUCACUUCCACAUUUGACAUUUGAUUUAUUAAGAAGAAAUAUAUUAACAUAGUAAAUACCUGAACGACUACAUAAAUGAAUGGUAUAAUCUAUGAAUCAAUGGAUAAACAUCUUGAUUUUUUGUCAUCUGCUCUGCUCUUUGCUCUCAGAAUGGACACACUUGAGCUGAUUUAAGGAUUAACCCACAGUCAUCAUGUUUAUGUUGGCAUCUCCCUGUUAGGAGCAUGGAGAUCAAUGUGAAUCAUAGUCAAAAUUCUUCUCUUGGUUUAAGCAGUACAGAGAAGGCCAACCAUGCCAAUGUGCAGUAUUGGAUUGAUAUGAAACAUUAAAAUGGUUAAUCCCUAAAGAAACAAACACUAAGUUCAGUUAAUCAAAAGGAUUUAGUCUAUUUAUAUAUGAUAUUAUUGAGAAAUGUUAGGGAUAUUGAAGGAGCUUCUUUUUUGGUGUGAUUUAUGCAUAUUUCUUUAUUAAUGAAUUAGUCAGUAAAGAAGCGCAGAUGAGAGUGGACAGAAAGACAGCCAAUCAUGGACCAGUGAUGAUGACUGCUGGUGUCUGACUCAUGGAAGAUGAAUAAUGAGUGCGGAACACUGAGGGCCAACCCAAAAGGAACCUAGUCUAUUCCCCGUAUUUCCAGUCAUACUAUAGGCAGAGGUCUAGAGGCAGGACUAUAAUCUUUUUCUUGGUCUUUGUGUUCAUGAAUUAUAAAACUAUAACUACGAAAGAAUCAAUGGCAGAAUAAAUUAGCAAAUGUAUAAAUGAAUAAAGGUGAAGAGGAUGAAGCAUUGUUCUUUACUAAAAUAUAUAGUCAGGGAAAUGAAUAUUAAUAUUCACUGGAAUGGAUAAUAAAUGGGCCAAGUGUAUUACAUAUUUGAGUACUUGUGACAUGGAUGGUGAUAGGUAGUAGGGUAUCACCCCGAGUCAGUUGUGAGUUUGAGAUUUGUUGUAUUGAGAGGAAAAAAAUAUUACCACAAAUUAAUAAAUGCUUAAAUGACUAAGGACAUGAAAGAUGAAAAUUGUGGGUCAGUGGGGACAGUGUCUCAUUUUGUAAAAAUCAUUGUGUCUUCUUGGUACUCUUCAGAAUGGACGCACUGAUCUGAUUUUAGCUUCUGCUGUGCUUAAAAUUGUGUUGUCUCUGUCAGGAGAGAGAACAAAGUGAGUAACAGUCAAAGAUCUUAGCUUGGUUUUAAUCAUUUGUUUAAGAGUGUUUCCGGCAUUGUUAAAAAGCAUUAAACAUCAUAAAAAAGUUAUCCAAGGCACAAUAAUAGAUUUAAUAGGAAACAUUCUUACUGUUGAUUAAUCAAAGAAAUGGAAAAAAUAUGGUGUAUAUGGGAAAGGAUUCUAUAGAACAGCGUUAAGGAUAUUCAAGGAUCUCGUGCUCAUGUUUUCUUGAAUAAUGUCUCUGAAUUAAUGAUUUAAUUGAGGACAAAUGUAAAACAAAUGAAGAGAGUGAGGAUCUAGAAUGGACCAGUAAUGAUGACUGGUGGUGUACCUCGUCUGUUUCCUGUUUGAAAUGAUCCAUUGGACAGAUGUCAAGAAUAUACAGAUACCAGGUUCUUAUUUUAGAUUCACAAAUUUCGAUUUACUAUUACUAAUGAAUCAAUGGUAGAACCAUUAAACAAAUAUAAAUAUAUAAGUAAAGAAGAGGAUGAAGUGAUUUUCAAUUAUAAACAUAUGUAAUGAGGCAAAAAAUAUUAUUAAUAAAAAUUGAAAACACUGAUGUUCAUAAAGAAAUAGAUGGAUUAAGAACGUUGUUUCUCAUUUAAGAUCAUGUUGGGGCGCCUGGGUGGCUCAGUCGGUUGAGCAACCGACUUCGGCUCAGGUCAUGAUCUCACGGUUUGUGAGUUCGAGCCCCGCGUCGGGCCCUGUGCUGAAAGCUCAGAGCCUGGAGCCUGCUUCCGAUUCUGUAUCCCCCUCUCUCUCUGCCCCUCCCGCACUCAUGCUCUGUCUCUCUCUGUCUCGGAGAUAAAUAAACAUAAAAAAUAAUUUAAAAAAAAAGAUCAUGUAGACACUGUUUAGUAGGAGUCAAUUUUCUUGUUCUCAAUCAUAUCCAAGGUUGAGAUGAUUCCUCUUGUUAAGAGAAAAAACAUAUUUAUGAAAAAUUAAUAAAUGUACCAAUGAGUAACUGAAAUGCAGAACUCAAGGGUCAGUAGAGAUAAGAUCUGUUUUGGUUUUUGUUCUUUUGUUGUUAACUAAUCACCUGUUCUGCUCUGUACUCCUCAGAAUGGACACACCUGAGCCGAUUUAACAUCUUUCAUAGUCCCGAGCUCUAUGGUUGCAUAUGUGUGUUAGGAGCAUGGAGACCAGUGUGAGUAAUAGUCAAAGUUUCUUGGUUUGGGUGGUUUGUUUAAGAGUAGUCACCAUAUUAUUAAGAAAACCGUAUAGUAGACUGUAGAGUAGUUGUAAGUGUGAUAUUGAGGUGGUGCCUUAUAUUGAUUGUUGCACGUACAUAAAACUGAGGUUAAUUACUGAAAGAGAUUGAUGUAAGAAUGAUUUUCUAUACAGCGUUGGGACAUAAAAACCCUUCUUGGGUUUGUGUGAAUCGUAAUGAUUAGAAACUAUUAUUAGUGAAGUAAUGCCUAGUGAAUAAAUAGAAAUAAAUGAAGAAAAAGAGGGGCAAUAACGGAUCGAUGAUGACCACUGGUGGCGUAUGAGUCAUAUGUGAUGAAUACAUGUCUGGAACUCUGAGGUCCAAUAGAAGAGACAUCUAGUCCGUUCCCUUUGUUGAAAAGGAUUCUACACGCAGAUGUCAGGAAUACACAAAGAUUUUUUUUUUUUUUUGGUGGGGGGGGGGUCUCUGCUCAUGGUUUUUCAUUCCAUUAUUUUAACUGGAUAAGUGAGUUGAAAAAAAAAAGAGAGAAAGAAAGAAGUAAAGAAAGAUAAAUGAAGUGAAGCAGUGUCUAAUUAUAAAACUACGUGAUCAAACAAGAAAUGCUUAUUAAUAUAUCUUGAAAACCCUGAAGUCCAAUGAGAAAUGAGGUGCCUAUGACUGUUACCUCUUGGGUAGGGAUAAUAUAGACAGUACAGAUUAUAGACAAUGUUUAUGUUCUGGGUCUGUGGCGAGCUCAAAAGUGGUUUCUUAAGAGAAAAUGAAAGAAAUAUACUUUGAAUUAAUGAUCGCAUAAAUGACCGUCUGAACUAAAGAUGAAAAGCAAACAUUAAUGGAGAGAAGGUAUAAUUUUUGUAUCACCUGUUCUGAUCUGUACUCCUCAGAAUGGACUCGCUUGAACUGGUGGAAGCAUCUUCCAUGGUCCUGAGCUCCUGGUUGCAUCUAUUUAUUAGGAGCAUAGAGACCAGUAAUGAAUACCCUCAAGCUGAUGUAAGCAUCUUCCACGGCCAUGAACUCCAUAGUUACAUCUCUGCAUUACGAGCAUGGAGAUCAAUAAUGGGCACGGCCAUGCCAAUUUUGGCAUUCUGUCAUGGCCCCGAACUCGGUGGUGUCUUUGGAGAACGGAGACCCUUGUGUGUGAGUAACAGUCGAACUUUUUGUCUUGGUUUGGGCAAUUUUUAAGAGUGGUCAAUGCAUUUUUAAGAAGUAGGAGAUAGAAUCAAAGGCCAAACAUGACCCAGUAAUAAACAUGGGACUGGUACAAAACAUUAUGUUGAGAUGUCCACAUGUGAAACACAGAGACCGAUUUCAGAAACAGAUCUAACGUCUGUGGGAAAUGAUUUCAUAGAUAGCUAUUAGGGAUAUCAAGGCUCUUAUUCUGGGUUUUUUGGAUUCAUGUAUAUUUCUUCAUGAGUAAGUAGUGAAUUGAUGAAUAAGGCAAUAGACAAAAUAUAAAGGAAAAGAAUUCACAAGCUUGGGCCAUUGAUGGUUCCUGGUGGCGUAAGAGUCAAGGAUGACGAAUGGUACAUGUCUGGACCCCUGUAUGGAAGGUGUUGAAUCAAUACAUUGUACACCUGAAACUAAUAUUACACUAUAUGUUAAUUAAUCGGAAUUGAGAUAAAAACUUAAAAAAUAAAAUAGUUCAUAUUCAUUUCCCCCUUUUUUUCCAUCUACUUUCUACUUUACGGAAUGGAUACACUCAAGCCGAUAAUCAUUCUGUAAUGAUCAGGACCUUGAUGGUUCAAUGUGAGUAAUACUCCAAAUUCAAUGGGGGUUGUCUGUAUAGGGUAUUCAGAGUUGUCUGCGUGAUUGAAAAGUAUGGAAUAUAACUUGUGGGGAUGAGCCCUGGGUGUUAUAUGUAGGGGAAGAUCGCUGGAAUUUACUCCUGAAAUCAUUAUUGCCCUAUACGCUAACUAACAUGGAUGUAAAUAAAUAAAUAAAUAAAUAAAUAGUAUGGAAUAUAAUCAAAGAAAGCCACAUGAGGACCAGCGAUGAGAUUGUGUCACAAACCAAGGUUCAUGAUAUAUCUGAUUUAGCACAACACAUCCUUUUAAAAAAGGAGUUCUAAUCUUUUAGUUCUGAAGGUAUGGGACCCAGAGUAAACUGCCUGCCACUCCUAGUUGUUUUUCUUUUUUUAGUUUACUUAUUUAUUUUGAGAGAGAGAGAGAGAGAGUCAGAGAGACAGAAUCCCAAACAGGCUCUGCACUGACAGGACAUGGGGUUUGAACUCACAAACCGUGAGAUCAUGACCUGAGCAGAAUAUCAAGAGUCGGACGCUUAACCAACUGAGCCACCCAGGCGGCCCAAAAUAAAUGUAAAUAACUUCUAGAAAGUCGUGCGUAGGCCAGUAAUGUGAAUAUGUUAUGAACCACAGUUUGGAUAAUUAAUCCAAAUUAGCGCAAAUGAAGGACAAGUAAAAAACUUUGCUUUUUUCAUUCAUUUCAAAACUCAAAGUCUCAUUUUAUGUUUGUUCCACUGAUUUUUUUUAUUUAUUUAGUCCCACUGAUGAUUUAAACAUUUCCCUCUUGAUAAAGAUCUAGGCUGAUACUCAUUUUGAGAGUCAAUAUUCUAGUUGUUGAGCAGGAUGUUGGGUUCAUGGUUGGCCUCUGUAAUGCCUAACAAUGGUUCCGUGUAAUCUCUAAAAGUUAAAUGCUGAAGGAUUGCACCUGCACCAAGGAUGUGAAUGGAAUGCAUCUGAAUAAAAAUUAUGAUCAAUCAUUUUUUGAACCACUGAGGUCCACUCACAAAGCGAACUCGUGUAGGACUUUUGGGGAGUGGUCUCAGGAAAGGUCAAGAAUCUAGUUGAGAAAGGUUCAUGGAUUUGACUUUAUAUUGUUAGUGAAUAAAUGAAUGUAUCAAUAAGCAAAUAUACUCAAAGGUAAAGAAAAUUAGGUCAAAACAUGGACCAAUUUAGAGGAUAUGUUAUAAAACGGGAAAUAUUCUGUAUUCAGUUCUGAAACACUUUGGUCAAGUAAGAAAAAAAAACAACAUAGAUUAAGGUUGUUACCACUUUGUGUAAGAAGCCGCUAGGUAGAGGGAGUUUAUGAGUCGAGGUUCUGCUGUCUAUUUGCAGUGGGUUUCUAUGUGUUUGUUUCGUGAAGGAAAAAAAAGUUGAAAUUAAAGAAAUGGCUAACUGAAUGAGUGAGUGCCAAGAAUGAACCAAUGAUGACUAUAUUUUAUUCUUUAUUACAUCUGCUUUGUGCCGAGAAUGGCCACACAUUGGCUGCUUUUGUCAUUACACUUAAUGGUGAGGAUCCUGACUGUUACUGAUGUGGCCAAAGAAAGCGUAGAUUAGGGUAAGUAGCAAAUUAAGUUUUUAUUCUUGGCUUGGUCUUUUUGUUCAUGGAUGAUGACAUUAUUUUCAAAAAGAAUAAAUGGCUUCAUGCAACCAUAACAUGAAAUCAAAGAAGACCUUGUAUGGACUGAUGAUAAGAAUUUGUCCUGACAAGGUCGUGCUUUAUUCAUUUUGCAAAAAUCAAAAAACAAAAACAAAAACAGAUUUCCAUUCAAAAAAUAGAUUGCUCCCUCUCAGCUUAAGAAGAUUAUAGACACCUUCUAGUCAUAGUCAAAGGUCUUGUCCUUGGAUUGGUUGUGUUUUCCUUGUUUAUUUUAUUU